Molecule: long non-coding RNA, 6760 nt
Filed under: Homo sapiens (human)
Lineage: Eukaryota; Metazoa; Chordata; Mammalia; Primates; Hominidae
Description: non-protein coding lnc-ESPN-5:2
Source: RNAcentral
AAGGCUGCAGAGAGCUCGCGCGGGCGUACGAUUCUGGCGGCGUGGGGGCCCAGGCAGCCGCCGCUUCCAGAAGGUUCGGUGGCGGUUGGGCCGCGCCGGUGCGGGGAAGGCCCGCUAGCCGCGGCAGCCGCGCCCGACCCGGUGGCAGCCCCGAGGGAAGCGUCUGGGGCGGCCUAAGUGGCGGAGCAGGGCGGACUUGGGCCCUCACUCUCCGCGCGGCGGUAAAUAUUUGUGCUGGGCGUUCCCGGCCGCCCGCGCCGCCGAUUCGCUGCCGCGCCCAGUGCCUGGGCGGCCGGAUGAGGUCAGAGCGGAAGGCGCGGCCCGGGCUCCUGGCAGUGGGGCCUGAUUCCCACCCCCGCCCCCAACCCACCCCGGCACCAGUCGCCCGCAUCGCGGCUCUCGCUAAGAUCGGCCCUAAGAGAGAAUGGAAGGCUGUUUCCUAGAAAGGAGCAUUGGUGGCGGCUGCUGGGAAGACACGGGGAAUGGAACGGGCCUUUGCUUCCGCAGCACAAAGCGUCACGAGGUGGGGAGGAGGAAAGGCCGGCGACUAUCUACACCGCCGCCUGCAGCUUUUACUGGGAGCGCUGAGCGCCAGCCUGGAGGUGCACGUGUUGCAGUGAGGAGCCCUGAAACAUGCGUGUUUUACUGCACAAGAUGUGCCCUUGAAUGGAGUCUAGGCCAGUCGGGGUCACCAAAAAAAAUCCACCAAAAAACACCCAAGAAGGGAGAAGCGGUCACCCCCCACGUGCUGGAAUGACAGCUUUUUACUUGCUAGGCAGUUGGACCUUUUCCGAAUUUUCUACAAUGCACAUAGAUUUGUACUUACAUCUUUAAAUUAAAACCCACGCAACUCCGGCUCCCUAGUGCAAUUUGAACAACCCAUUUACACUCAGCUAGGUAGCUCUGAAGGAACUGUGCCUCACCCCGGUCACCCUUGAGUUACCAGACCGUGGAGGCAGCCCACAGCAUGAUCUGUAGCUCCCAGAAGCAGGGGCAGUCAAAGUCAGAACUCUGUGAUUUCAAGACUUUUAUACUAAGAAUUUUGUUUUUCUGUUUUCUUUUUUUUUUUUUUUUUUUGAGACGGAGUCUUGCUCUGUUGCCCAGGCUGGAGUGCAGUGGUGCAAUCUCAGCUCACUGCAAGCUCCGCCUCCCAGGUUCACGCCAUUCUCCUGCCUCAGCCUCCCAAGUAGCUGGGACUACAGGCGCCUGCCACCACGCCCGGCUAAUUUUUUGUAUUUUUAGUAGAGACGGGGUUUCACUGUGUUAGCCAGGAUGGUCUUGAUCUCCUGACCUUGUGAUCUGCCCGCCUCUGCCUCCCAAAGUGGUGGGAUUACAGGCGUGAGCCACCACGCCUGGCCUGUUUUCUUUUUUUGAUAUAGAGUCUCGUUCUGUCGCCCAGGCUGGAAUGCAGUGGUGUGAUAGCUCACUGUAACCUCUGCCAUCCAGUUUCAAGCAAUUCUCCUGCCUCAACCACACUGAGUAGCUGGGACCAUAGGCAUGCACCACCACGUUUGGCUUAUUUUUGUAUUUUUAGUACAGAUGUGUCCAGAAUUGGUGGGUUCUUGGUCUCACCGACUUCAAGAAUGAAGCCGCGGACCCUCGUGGUGAGUGUUACAGCUCUUAAGGUGGCGCAUCUGGAGUUUCUUCCUUCUGGUGGGUUCGUGGUCUCCCUGGCUCAGGAGUGAAGCUGCAGACCUUCACAGUGAAUGUUAACGGCUCAUAAAGGCAGUGUGGACCCAAAGAGCGAAAGAACAACACUCCUACAGCGUGGAAGGGGACCAGAGUGGGUUGCCACUGCUGGCUCGGGCAGCCUGCUUUUAUUCUCUCAUCUAGCCCUACCCACAUCCUGCUGAUUGGUAGAGCAGAGUGGUCUGUUUUGACAGGGUGCUGAUUGGUGUGUUUACAAUCCCUGAGCUAGACACAAAGGUUCUCCAUGUCCCCACCAGAUUAGCUAGAUAGAGUGUCGACACAAAGGUUCUCCAAGUCCCCACCAGCGUAGUUAGAUACAGAGUGUUGAUUGGUGCAUUCACAAACCCUGAGCUAGACACAGGGUGCUGAUUGGUGUGUUUACAAACCUUGAGCUAGAUACAGAGUGCCGAUUGGUGUAUUUACAAUCCCUUAGCUAGACAUAAAGGUUCUCCAUGUCCCCACCAGACUCAGGAGCCCAGCUGGCUUCACCCAGUGGGUCCCGCACUGGGGCUGCAGGUGGAGCUGCCUGCUAGUCCCGCACUGUGUGCCCACACUCCUCAGCCCUUGGGUGGUCGAUGGCACUGGGUGCCGUGGAGCAGGGGGCGGUGCUCAUUGGGGAGGCUCGGGCCGCACAGGAGCCCAUGGAGUGGGGGGAGGCUCAGGCAUGGCGGGCUGCGGGUCCCGAGCCCUGCCCCGGGGGAAGGCAGCUAAGGCCCUGCGAGAAAUUGAGCACAGCAGCUGCUGACCCAGGUGCUAAGCCCCUCACUGCCCGGGGCCGGCGGGGACGGCCGCGGCUCCGAGUGCGAGGCCCGCCGAGCCCACGCCCACCUGGAACUCGCCCUGGCCCGCAAGCACCGCUCGCAGCUCCGGUUCCGCCCACGACUCUCCCUCCACACCACACCGCAAGCUGAGGGAGCCGGGUCCGGCCUUGGCCAGCCCAGAAAGGGGCUCCCACAGUGCAGCGGCAGGCUGAAGGGCUCCUCAAGUGCCGCCAAAGUGGGAGCCCAGGCAGAGGAGGCGCUGAGAGCGAGCGAGAGCUGUGAGGACUGCCAGCAUGCUGUCACCUCUCACAGAUAGGGUUUCACCAUGUUGGCCAAGCUGGUCUUGAACUCCUGACCUCAGGUGAUCCACCCACCCCAGCCUCCCAAAGUGCUGGGAUUACAGGCCUGAGCCACCUCGUCCGGACGCAGACUUUUGUUUUUUAGUGAGAAUUAAGUUGAUGCAAGCAUCAAGGGCCCCCAAGCCUGUUCAAACACCACCUCUUCCCAAUUGAAUCCUGAAAUGGUUGGAAGCAGUAACUAGAUUUAGAGCCUCAGGCAAGGUAGUUUCCUUUUUUUUUUUUUUUUUUUUUUUAAAUCUUUUGAGACAGAGUCUUGGCUCUGUCACCCAGGCUGGAGUACAGUGGCACAAUCCCUGCUCACUGCAGCUUCUGCCUCCAGAGCUCAAGCAGCCCUCCCACCUCAGCCUCCUGAGUAGCUGGAGCCACAGGCAUGUGCCACCAUGCUCAGCUAAUUUUUGUACUUUUCUGUAUAGAAGGAGCCUCACCACAUUGCCCAAGCUGGUCUUGAACUCCUGGGCUCAAGUGAUCCACCUGCCUUAGCCUCUCAAAGUGCUAUGAUUACAGGUGUGCAUCACUGUUCCCAGCCUGGCAGUUUCUUUACCUAUGAUAUGGGGGUGAUAAAUACUUUCCUGACCGUUGUGAGGACUACUUGGCAGGCUGAGGUAGGGCCUUUCUUCCUCUUCCCUCCUCAAACCUUCUGUUUCUCUAUACUGCUCUUCCCCCAGCUAUGAGUGCAGCAAGAAUUUACUAAGACCCCAUGCUCCCUGUAUAGGUGUGCUUGCUCCUCUGAGCAUUACAGACACUUCAUUGUUCAAAAUCUUCUAAAUCUGCCUGGCAUGGGGGCUUGCACCCAUAAUCCCAGGAGGCUGAGGCAAGAGGAUCCCCUGAACCUAGGAGUUUGAGGCUGCAGUGCCCUCUGAUGGCUCCUGUAAACAGCCACUGCACUCCAGCCUGGGCAACAUAGACUCUGUCUCUUAAAAAAAAAAAAAGUUCAAAUGCUGCUUGGGACACAAAUCAGGGACACAAAAAGCCAGAUUCCAGCCACACACUGAACCAGAGGGAAUCUUAGACAAGGAUGGGCCAAGUGGUUUAGAAUGAAAUAGCCUGGGCCCUCCAGAGUGAGGCCAAAAAGUGAUCUGGAACAGUUCCUAUACUUUUGGGAAAGGGUGUGGCUACCCUUCCACCUGAGACAGCAUCUGUCCCUCCUGCUCACAUCACUACCCCGAAGGUGGUAGAGGGACCCAGAAAAGAUAACAGCUCAGCCCAGAGAUUAUCAUGUACCCAUUCUGCACUGUAGAAAGAAAAUAGUGCUCCAGAUUACUACUUAUGAUGUUGCCCUGUUUUUAAGGAUGGCAAUGGGGGCGCCCAAUUCCUCAGCAAAAACCUUGUGAAUGAUUUUGGCCAUAGUGCUAAUGGAUUUACACUGAUUUUGCACCUUCCACAGUCUCACCUUCUCGUGUUAGGCUAUUUUCUACUUGCUCCUCAAGCUAUGGGCCAUUUCUAUCCCUGCUUUCAGCAAAACAUCUCAAAAGAGCUGCUUACACACACACCCUCUCCCCUCACCUCCCAUCCUCCUUUGAACCUGUUCCAGUUUGGUUUUUGAUUCUACCAGUCAAUCUAUCAAGGUCACUAAUUCCUUCCAAGUUGCUAAAUCCGAUAAUCUGUUGUCAGAAGUCAUUUUCCUUGACCUCUCAACGGCAUUGAGCAGAUGUGACCUCCCUAUCCUGGAAGCGCUCCUCCCUCACGUCCGUCUUCCUCCCUCGCUGGCCACUGCUCAGCCUGCUCUGCUGGCACUGCCUCCCUGCCUCCUGUCAGAACUUUAGACAAGCCCCAAGCAGUGCUUGAACUCUUGAGGUCUCAUUCUGUCUCAUCACUUUUUUUUUUUUUUCCUUCAGACAGGGUUUCAUUCUGUCACCCAGGCUGGAGCACAGUGGUGCAAUCACAACUCACUGCAGCCUCGACCUCCUGGGCUCACAUGAUCCUCCCACAUCAGCCUCCUGAGUAGCUGAGACCACAGGCACACACCACCAUGCCCGGCUAUUUUUUGUAUUUCUUUAUAGAGUCUGGUCAGGCUGGUCUCGAACUCCUGGGCUCAAGCGAUCCACCCAUCCUGGCCUCCCAAACCAAAGUGCUGGGAUUACAGGCAUGAGCCACCAUGCCUGGCUGUCUCAUCACUCUAAAUUUAUUGUUAUUUUUAUUUUUUUGAGACAAAGUCUCGCUCUGCUGCCCAGGCUGGAGUGCAGUGGCGCGAUCUCGGCUCACUGCAACCUCUGCCACCCGGGUUCAAGAGAUUGUCGUGCUCCAGCCUCCAGAGUAGCUGGAAUUACAGGCCCCCACCACCACACUCAGCUAAUUUUUUUAUUUUUAGUAGAGACAGGGUUUCACCAUGUUGGCCAGGCUGGUCUUGAACUCGCGAUCUCAGGUGAUCUGUCCGCCUUGGCCUCCCAAAGUCCUGGGAUUACAGGCAUGAGCCACUGCACCCAGCCUGUCUCAUCACUUUAAGUCCCAUCUGUAUAAUACAUAUCUCUGGCCAGCUCAGAGCUCUCCCCUAAAUUCCAGAUCCAUGUAUCCCUUGUCUGCACCAAAUCUCACUUUGGUUGCAUGGCAGGUACCCGACACUCACCUUGUCCUGAUGCCCCUCAGAAAUGGCCAUCCCAGGAAAUUGCAGUCCCGUCCCUCCAGUUGGUCAAGCCAAGACCCAAGGAGUCACCCGUGACUCUCUCUCUCCCUCACACCCCUCAUCCAAACCAUCAGCACAUCCUGCAAGCUCUGCCUUCACAAUGAAUCUGGGAUCUGAACAGUCCUCACUGUGGCAUUCAGGGUUCUGCCCCACAGCCACAUCCACGCUUCUGACCUCAUGAGCUCUCUCCCCUGGCUCACUUAGCUCCAGCCACCCUGAGCUCCCGGACAGUCUUCGAAUGUGCCGGACAUAUCUCAGAGGCUUCACGCUUGCUCCUUCCUCUGCCUGGGCCACCCUUUACUCAGGCAAACAUCACCUUCUAAAUAAGGCCUUCCCCAGCCAUUCUCUAUUAGGCCCAUUGCAGUCCCCCCACUCUUCUCCAGUACUCCCAGUUUUCCUCCCUGGUUUAUUUUUCUCGUUAGCACCUAACACCAUUUAAUACGUAUUGCACCCAUAUGUUUAUUGCCUCUCCCCCAACUAGAAGGUAUAGAGCAGGAAUUUUUUACUGUUUUAUUCACUGCUGUAUCCCAAGCUCCAAGAAGAGUGCCUAGCACAUAGUAGGUACUCAAUAAAUAUUUUAUGAAUGACUUCAUAGAGAUAAUUAUUAUAUCAACAGCAGAUAUUAAUUCAUUAUAUUUAGCUUAUACUCUUUAAAAAUAUUGACAAACUGUCACUUUAAACAAUCUUUAAAUAUUUUAAACUAUCUUUAAAUAUAUGGUUUAGGCCGGGCGCAGUGGCUCAUGCCUGUAAUCCCAGCACUUUGGGAGGCCGAGGUGGGCAGAUCACAAGGUCAGGAGAUCAAGACCAUACUGGCUAACACGGUGAAACCCCAUCUCUACUAAAAAUACAAAAAAUUAGCCGGGCGUGAUGGCGGGCGCCUGUAGUCCCAGCUACUCAGGAGGCUGAGGCAGGAGAAUGGCUUGAACCUGGGAGGCGGAGCUUACGGUAAGCCGAGAUCCCACCACUGCACUCCAGCCUGGGCCGCAGAGCAAGACUUUGUCUCAAAAAAAAAAAAAGAAAAAAUAUGUAUAUAUCUAUAUAUGGUUUAAAUAGGGCUGGGCGUGGUGGCUCACGCCUGUAAUCCCAGUACUUUAAGAGGCCGAGGCAGGCAGAUCACGAGGUCAGGAGUUCAAGAUCAUCCUGGCCAAGAUGGUGAAACCCCAUCUCUACUAAAAAUACAAAAAUUAGCUGGGCACGGCAGCGCGCACCUGUAGUCCCAGCUACUCGGGAGGCUGAGGCAGGAGAAUCACUUGAACCCAGAGGGCGGAGGCUGCAGUGACUCAAGGUCGCGCCACUGCACUCCAGCCUGGGCAUGAAGUGAGACCCCAUCU